AACGAACGCUGGCGGCAGGCCUAACACAUGCAAGUCGAGCGAGGACUUCGGUCCUAGCGGCGGACGGGUGAGUAACGCGUGGGAACGUGCCCUUUGCUUCGGAAUAGCCCUGGGAAACUUGGAGUAAUACCGGUUGAGCCCUUUUGGGGAAAGAUUUAUCGGCGAAGGAUCGGCCCGCGUUGGAUUAGGUAGUUGGUGGGGUAAUGGCCUACCAAGCCGACGAUCCAUAGCUGGUUUGAGAGGAUGAUCAGCCACACUGGGACUGAGACACGGCCCAGACUCCUACGGGAGGCAGCAGUGGGGAAUCUUAGACAAUGGGGGAAACCCUGAUCUAGCCAUGCCGCGUGAGCGAUGAAGGCCUUAGGGUUGUAAAGCUCUUUCAGCUGGGAAGAUAAUGACGGUACCAGCAGAAGAAGCCCCGGCUAACUCCGUG
Molecule: ribosomal RNA, 433 nt
Filed under: uncultured bacterium
Lineage: Bacteria
Description: partial 16S ribosomal RNA
Rfam family: Bacterial small subunit ribosomal RNA
Source: RNAcentral